Molecule: long non-coding RNA, 780 nt
Organism: Calidris pugnax (ruff)
Lineage: Eukaryota; Metazoa; Chordata; Aves; Charadriiformes; Scolopacidae
Exons: 3
Source: RefSeq, a predicted model, not a curated record
UAUUUGGUCUUGUGUUUCAGUAUCCGUCUUCCUUAAUGUACUGUAUCGAUUUAAAGGUGUUCGAACCAAACCAAUGUCUUUGCUGACUUAACCAAGUUGCCUACAAUGAGAAACAAAUUCUUUUGUAAGUGGAUCAUAAUGUAUAUUGCCGGUCAUUUUGUACAACAUAUCCAUAUUGUUACCUUUGAUUUUUAGAUUAUGCUUGAUGAUGUGCUUCUUUGUCUUAUGUUUCAUUUUAAUGGUGGGUUGUUUUUUUUUUUGCAGUGGAGUUGGGGCCAUAAUCUACAUCAGGCUUUCCCCUCCCCUUACAGAACAUACUGGAAUCUACAUGGAUUACUCAAGACCUACGUUCAUUGUUCUGGGAUUUGAUCACAGGCUGGUUUCCUCUGUUCGGUCCCAGACAAACCAUCCAAGAACUGAUCUGCUGGAGCUGGGACUUGUGAGAAUUGGGUCAUAAAAUGGUCAAAGUGCAAAGACUUCAAAGCAACAACGACAGGUUGGUUUGUUUCUUUUUUAGUAAAAAUUCUUUUUAAAAAGAAGAACCUCAAUGAAGUACUAGUGACUGAAAGAGUGAAAAAUGUAAAACUUUAAAAAAAAAGAUACUUCUUCAGGCAAUUCUCAUGCCAGCCUUUAACUACGGCUUUCAUUUACGAUGCUCAUAUAAAUGGAAUAGACUUCACUGAGUCUAUUCAUGUGAUUUGGGAUCAGACUGCUAUUAUUCUAACUUGUUAGAGCUAACACCAUUCCUUAUCCCUCUACAAGUUCUUGAGACUUUGUAGG